RNAcentral lists this small nuclear RNA (104 nucleotides) under Myotis davidii. The record is from RNAcentral. Lineage: Eukaryota; Metazoa; Chordata; Mammalia; Chiroptera; Vespertilionidae.
GCGCUCACUUCAGCAUCACAUAUACUAAAGUUAGAACAAUACAGAGAUUAGCAUGGUCCCUGCGCAAGGAUGGCAUGCAAAUUUGUGAAGCAUUCCAUAUUAAA